This is a long non-coding RNA of Haemorhous mexicanus (house finch), 7506 nucleotides long. RefSeq lists it as uncharacterized. The transcript is spliced from 2 exons. NCBI's taxonomy places the organism in Eukaryota, Metazoa, Chordata, Aves, Passeriformes, Fringillidae. The record is from RefSeq and is a predicted model, not a curated record.
GUCCCGCGGCUCCUCCUGCCGCCGCCUCCGCCGCGGCUCGGCCGCACUUCGCCGCCCGGGGCUCGGCGUGCGCCCGCGGAGCACACCGGUGACCCGGGACCCCCUCCCCGCCCGACCCCUCCAUACCGGGCGAGCCCCCCCCCCCCCCGCGCGCCACCAGGCCCGCGGCCCGGCCCGGCCCGGCCCCGGAGUGCGGGCCGGAGGCUCCGCGCCCCCGCCGAGGGCUUGGACUCGGGUCUGCGCGGCGGGGAGCGGUUUUUAGGGUGCGGGGACUCCGCUCUGGGGUGGACGCGGGCCGAGAGCCGCGGUUGGAGCGGCCUCGGGUCACCCCGGCGCGGGGCGCGGCUGCCGGCGGGAAUUGCCGGGAACAACAAGGACAGCGGAAAGCAGCAGGGUGCGGUGCCGGACCCCCGGUCCCCACGGAGAACACGGACGGCGCUCCGCGGGGGCCACUGGCACUCACGUAACAGCAGAACCGGGGCGGUGGGAGGUGGUGGUUCGCAUUUUGGGGAUUAUGGAAAGUUGGAAGUAAUUUGGCGUUUAAACCUAAGGGCUGUCUAGAGUUGUUUUCUCAUCCUUGUCAUAAAAGUUAAUAAGAAUUUUCUUAUUUUUUUUAAGGAGAGAGUUGCUGUUGAUCCAUGAAAGAUGCCCCCUAAAGUUUUCGAGGCAUUAGAAAUUAGUGGAAUAUGUUUCCCAUAGAGAUGGUAAAGCCUCUGGAUUUGGAGAUGCUCAAAACCCAACUGGACACAGCCUUAAGCAACCUCCUGUAGGUGGCCUUGCUCUGAGCAGGAAGGUUGGGGAAGACAAUCUCCAGAAACACCUUCCAGCUUAAACAAUUCUAUGAUUUCUAAGCCAGUUUUCCAAGAAACAUAAAGUGCAUAGAAAAUUCCACUGAACAGCACAAUAUGCUCUAAGGUGUUUGGUUCCAAGGACGUUUUAUUCAAUUUCUUGUUCACACAGGCAAUGGAAAUCCAGAAUGCAGGGCAUGUUGCACUCAAAGAUUUAGCAUAGCCAGUUGUCAUUGCAGAGGAAGGGCUUCAGAAAACUAGAAUGCCAUUAAAAGGCAAAUGACUGGAUGUUUUACAAUCUUCUUUGCAAACUUAUUUGCUAACUUCUUGGCUGGCUGGCCAUUCAUCCUGUCUGUAUGUAACUGUUUCACAUUUACCCCCUUGUUCUUCACACUCGGGAGCAGGAUACUAGCAUAUUUUGAAUGUUUUGUGUAAUUUUUGUCUUGAUGGAGCCAUUACCUCAGUGUUUUCCCAACCACUCAGGUUUCCAAUAGGCCACAGACACCCUGGUGUGAUCAGAAACAGGGUAACUCCCAUGGGUGCAGCUGCCAGGAAGGAAGCCGUGUUUGCAGCUGAUACUCACAGCCCUUUCUGCUCCCACAGCCAACAGAGGUAUCCAAAGGCAGAACACACUUGGAAACUGCAGGUACCAUAGGUGUGCUGGCACCACUUUGGAACAACAUAGGUUAACUUACCUGCAGAAAUGUUUUUGUAACUUGCACUUUAUGGAAUUCAGUAGGCAAAGAGUAAAACUACAUUGUAGGCAAUAGGAUUUCUGACCUUCACUGGUGGUUAGGUUGUGUCAGAUUUGGUACACCAGAGAGAGAAUACAGCUUGUGUAUAAAAGUUUGUAGCUCAGUUGUUCUCAGUUCUCAGUGAAUGGAGCCCUUGCAGUCCAACUCCAAUUUUACUUGUGAUCUACUGUUCUUUUGUAUUUUUCCCUAGAGUUUAUUUUGGUGUCACUUGGAAGUAGGUACUGUGCUGUAUCUUUUUCCUCACAAAAGCAAAUUAAGUCAGUGGCUUUUGCUCAGUGUCCUCUUAUGUAGCAGUCACUGAGUUAGUUCUGGAGAUACCUGCUGCUAAUUUCAUACUUGGACAUUUAUUUAUCACAAUGUUGUGAUCAGGUUCCAGCUUGGUAAUCUUAAAAGGAGUUACUUUAUCUGUUGAGUAAUGAAAAAUGGGUUACAGCUCCAAGUAUGGCUGAUGCUUUUAUCCAUCUUGCUGAUAAUUUUCUUGUCAAUAAAUGAUAAAAAUUCAUAAUGAGCUAUUUUCAGUCACAGUUCCUUCCCUUUUAUCUUGUGUGUUAAUUAGAUCCUUUUCCAGGUACUGGCAACAUGCAUAGCAAACAAAAUUGUACCAAGUAACACCCCCAAAUUUCUCAAGCUGUAGCUCUCCUCUAUUGCCAAGCCCCAGGUUAUAAGAGAAUAACUUGAGUUUUGUCAGCUUUCUGGUGACUGAUUUGAAGGUCUUUAAGUAGACAUGUGUUUACUUCUUCAUCUGUGAAAUAGAUAAAAUAGAGUUAUUUUACCAUCCAGUUACCUGAUCAUGUUUCAGUAACCAUUUUUGACCUUGACAAACCCCUCAGCAGGUGGUGAGGGUUCAUUGUGAGCUGGCUACGUCACUAUAUAGUAAACAUGAACCUGCUGAAGUUAUCUUUUCAUGUUUUUCUUAUGCAACCACAGUGAUGGAGGUUGGGGAGGAAAGAAAGUGAAGGGGAAUUGUUCUAAUUUCUCCCAGAAUAGUCCUGUGUUAAUAUAUUCUCAGGGAAAUUCUGGAAUAGUUUUUCUGUCUUCUAGCUUCUAUUUGAAAUUUGUCUAUAAAAAGGAAAUACUGCAAUUUUACCCAAGGCUCUAAUGUUCCAUAAUAUUCUCUUGAUUGUUAGUAAUAUUGCAAGUGCACCAAUAUUUACCUGCAGUCAUUGGACUAAAAAGGAAGGAGUAAGGAGGAUUGACAAGAUUGCUCCUAGCAGUGGUAUCAAGGUCUGCUUCAUGACUGUAGGAGCUGCUGACUUUACACAUGGUGUUCUCAGGACAGUUACAUUGAAAAGGAAUCCUUGUAAAAAUAUGUCCCAAAAUGAAGGAAGUAUGAGGGAUAAGCAGUCUUUCUAUUGAUAGUUUAAUCUACAGGUCCAGAUAACCCUUGAGACUUAAAAUUGAGUGCAACAAAGGAUAAGUUGUCAGUCCAAAAGUCUGUAAGACCUCAUAAAGUGUUUCUGGUCACUAAUCAGUAGGAAAUGCCUAGUGAGAAGUGAAAGUAUAGGGAAAUGUGGAGUUAUGUGCUUUAAAAUGCACUCCUGCCUGCCUUUGUUAUCAGAGGAGGUAGCUGGUUCAUUUAUAUCAAUAAAUCUCAAAAGGCUUGAGCCACUUCAGGAAGGGUGAUAUCAGCCAGUGCCCAUUUGUCUGAGUUGGGUAAUAAGCUGGCUGUCAUGUUAAAGUCAGUUCUUUUAAAAUAAUUGAAAAGCAACAUGGGAUUUCUUUAAUAAGGAAUAAAAGGGUAGAAAUGUAACUAGUGCCAGUAACUGUGGCUUAGGGGAAAAUGAUCCUGACAGACACAUCAAACUUCAUUACUUGAGUAGGUGAGAAGCUUCAGCACAAUAUAAUUGUGUAGAUGGAGCAGACUUGGGUAAGGUGCUUCAUGCUGCACACACCUAAAGUCUUCCUUACUUUCAGUAUCACACAUUAGAUGGCUUAAAAGCUGAUGGACUGAGAGUUGUGAAGAAAUACAUAACAUUGCAGAAAUAACCUAACAAUUGGAUUGUUCAAAGAGGUGGAACCCAACACUUCCAUCAUGGUCUAGAAGUCAUCAUAGAGUCAUUCCUGGUUUUAUUUGUGACUGUGACAAAGUUCCUGGAAUAAGUACAUAGAGAUGAUGAGGAAAAGACAAUAAUGCAGAAACAUCAUACAGACUGGAUUACUUUGUAAAUUGAACCACUUAAAUAAGUUAUGUCUUAAUCUGUCCAAGUGCAAAAUUAAGUGUCUAGGAUUAAUGAAUGCAAGUCAUGUACCUAAAGGAUAUUUCUGAAUCCUGGAAAGCAAAAACUUUAGAAAAGAUUAAAUGAAUGCAAUCACAAGACUCCUCAAAACCAACCUCAUAUACAUGUGGGACAGAAAGGGCUGGUGCUGUUUGGGGAUGCUCACAGUAGAGUAGGUAGUAGAAAUAAGGUCAGUUUGUAUCUGCUGGGUCAUGUUUUUUAAAUAGACCAAAAACUGGAGAGGCCACAAAGAAUGAGAGAAGAAUUUGGAUGCUUAAAAAGUCUUUAUCUGUUUAAUACCAAAAAGAACAAAAAAAAAAAAAGUAGACAUUAAUCAUAUAGUACUUUCCCAGUUAUAGGAAUUCACUUCAGUCUAAAGAGAGAAAUGGAUAGCUGGAGUUUAAACAAGAUAGAUUUGAUCAAAAAAAAAAGAUUUGUCUUCCUAAGUAAUAAAUGGUGAUCGACCACAAGCAAAACAAUGGACAGGAUGGGUCUUCCUCCCCUCAAUGCCUUCACCUCCAGAUUGGAUGGCACUUCCUGGCAUUUCUGCCCAAGUCCUUUGGUUCACAAAGGAGUGAGUGAAAUUUAAUGGCUUAUGCCAUAAAGAAAUUGAUAUUAGACCACCUUUUACAAUCCUCUCCUGCCCUUUCACAAGUGGAAGCAGGUGGAGGUAUCUAGAAGAAUAUAGUUUCUUGGAGUCCCGGUUUUUAGUAGACUGAUGUUUUCUAUCUAAGAAUAAUUUCAAAUAAUUUUUUUGCUCUGUCAAGACAUGCCCAAGCCUAGUUACUUGCGAGAGACAGUAGAUUUUCUUGUCCAUUUUGUAGUCUUUGUAGCACUGUUUAGAAUUUCUCAAGAAUUGUCCAGACAUUAAUUUGUGUUUGUAAGUUGAAUUACUGUAAUUAUCCAAUACAAACCUCUGAAGACAGUGAGUUCUGUAGAGUCCUUUAGUGUCCAUGCUGAGGUGCUUGCUCUCAGACAGCAAUGCUUGUUUGUCCCCUCUCUUUUUCAUUCUCAGACAUUACAGAAUUGAUAUUGCAGAUAUUGCCAAGCCUUUAAUGGCUGACUGACACCCUGUUCAUGGUUGGUUUUGCUGCUGGUUUGGGAAGGGGUCUUUCUAUGGCCGCCACAAGCACAUAUUGCCAUCACUGGUCCUUCAUUAUCUCUUAGCAACCAUUUGGUCUUUCACAAAAAAUGUCCCAAGCUAGAUGGUCUCAAUGGUCCGUGCAAGACCAUUGAAGAAUGGGCUGUGACCCACAGAAGGAAAUGCAGCUGGAAUUAUUGAAUCACAGCCUCUGUGUCUAAAAUGGCUCUGAAAAGAAGGUUCCUUAACUCCUCUCACCUGGGGCAAAAUUCAUGGUGAGAAAAGAGUUGCUAGAACCUCCCAAAGCAGCUCUGGUUGUUGCUGUCUGGUGUGACAGAGGCAUGUGGCCAUGCACAAAACCUCAGCAGAACCCUUUGAAAUUCCCUACAGAAAAGUGAAGACAGGCCAAGUUAUCUGGAAUUCACAGGGUGUUUUAUCCACGGUAUGAAGCGUUGCACCAUCUUAUGGCCAAGGAACCAAAAUCAUGAAAUUAAGCAAAAUCACAGCAUUGGAGAGGUGCGGUCAGACCGAAAGUACAUGAGGUGCUCCAAGCUGUGAAGCGAUGUUAUGAGGAAUCAGGGCUUGGCAUUCAUGCUGGACAAGGGAAUGAGAGGCCUACGUGAUUAAUCUUUCUGGUGGGUAGGAGAUCCCAAGUCUAAAACUGCCCAGGUCUCAGAAAGUGGAUGUGAUCCAUAGGCACCGAGUGGCAAGUGUUUAAUAACCUUGCAUUCCUCUCCGAAGGCGUGGUUCACAGAAUCACAGAAUGGUUUGAGUUGGAAGAGCUGUUAAAGAUCAUCUAGAUAUGCAACCCCUUGCCAUGGACAGGGAACCUUUCGCUGCACCAGGUUGUUUGUCAUUAUUGGUGGCAAGCUGCUCACAAGUAGAGGCUUCCCUGUUCCCCAGCCUUCUCUGUUAGUUAUCUGCCUCAUUGAAGACACACAACUCCAGGACGUCACCUUCCGUGUCCCCUAGCUCCAGCAGCUGCCGGUCCUGAGUUUGCUGCAAGACCUGCUCCCAUCAGGCAGUAUCCUCACCACGGAGCUCGACCAUGAGACUGCUGCAGCUUGGUGUGCUGCCCAUCACCAUCCCCUGGGAGCCUGUGAAAGGGAUUUGACCCAUCCAUCUGCACUUUUCCAAUUACUGCUGGUGCUCAGGGUGCUCCCUAAGAGAGCUGAAGACAGAACUGGCUUGGUGUUGGCAGGAAGUUUCAUAUAGUUUCUGGGAAGCAAGGCUUGGGAAGGGGCCCAGGCUGUCACAGUGCCUGUGUUUUGGGUAGCAUCUGGCCUGAUGUCUGUUGGAACAAAUGGCUGGCCACUGAGACAGGCACGUUACAGCCAACACUACUCAUGCAGACAAAGCCACCAACUCGCUUCGGCCCAGGAUGCUUGGGGACAAAAGUGCCACACACACUUGUCUCCAGUUCUAGGGUGAAUUUAGACAACCAGAGCUAGGAUGUGCACUGAACUGCCCGUGCACACAGGCAGCCACAAUGCUUGGAAGCCAAAGGCUUGAGGGCAAAGAAAGAUGAAUGUAAGAAAUACUUUCUUUGAUGAAAAAACUAGUUGCAACGAAUGAAGUAAUGAAACAAAGAUUGACCUUUACAAUUUUGUGUCAGUACACAAAAUUCUUUUGAAGAAAUUUGCAUUAAAAAUGCUCAUUGAAUAAAGCAGAAUAUCUUUCAAAGAAGGUUUUUAUGACAUUAUAAGACAAUUUUACCAAGCCUCAGCAUAGACAUUGCUGGGAUCUGCGUAACCCUGAAAAAUAAGGUAUUGGAGGAAUAUCAGUGAAACAAGUAUGGCAAUGUUCAUUUGGAGAAAUUUCUUCAUGAUAAGGCUGGAAUAUUGGGUAGCAAAGGAGGGGGAAAUACACAAACUAAACAGUGAAACAUGAUCAGAGAAUCUUAUUUGUUGCUUGGGGUCUGAAAACUGUAUUUGAACUUAAACUUUCUAAUGGUUCCUACUUGUAAAAAAAGAGUAUUUAAAAAAUGUGUUCAGAUAUACCAGGCUGAUGACCGACUGACAUGCUUUUUAUUCCAAUAUUAACAUGUAUCUUAGAGAACCAUGUCCAGUGUAAAAAAUCCCAUGGUGUUGGGACCAGAAGAGGAAUGCAAAGCUCUUGUGUUUGGUCUGUCUGUGCUGUGCUAUACAGGGUAGUUGUAGAGAAAGAUCAGAAGAGGGUCCAGAUACUCAGUCUAUGUCUUUUCUCUUUCAGUUAUACAAGGUCAGUAGGUUGGAACUCACCUAAUAGGUUUAAAUCAGUGAAAAUGGAAGGCCAGUAUCUACAGCUGCCUAUAUCUCGAUAACCUCUCUACUUAAAAACACCAGCAAUGUGCAGUGUAAUGUCACUUAUUUUGAAGCUGACAUUUUGCAUUGUACAUGUUUUCAGUUGCUCGUAAAACUUUGCCAGCUUUCACAAGUCUGAAAUUUUCCCUAAGGGGUGUUGGCCUCAAACUGAAUUUUUUUGUGAAGACUCUAGACACAGUUUUUUCAGCUGCCUCAGAUCAAAAUGCAGAUUAUUUCCCCUUGUAGAGAAAAGAAAAAGAAGAAGAAAGAGAAAAAGAAGAAAAGAAAAAGAAGAAAGAGAAAAAAGGAAGGAUAAGAAAAAAUAAAAGAAGAAAGAUAAAAAAAGGAAAAGAAGAAAAGAGGAGAAAAAGGAGAAAAAUAAAA